This 504-nucleotide ribosomal RNA is filed under the name uncultured bacterium. Its description in RNAcentral is "partial 16S ribosomal RNA". It matches the Rfam family "Bacterial small subunit ribosomal RNA", at positions 29 to 523 of the family's 1533-position model. The record is from RNAcentral.
AUUGAACGCUGGCGGCAGGCCUAACACAUGCAAGUCGGACGGUAGCACAGAGAGCUUGCUCUUGGGUGACGAGUGGCGGACGGGUGAGUAAUGUCUGGGGAUCUGCCCGAUAGAGGGGGAUAACCACUGGAAACGGUGGCUAAUACCGCAUAACGUCGCAAGACCAAAGAGGGGGACCUUCGGGCCUCUCACUAUCGGAUGAACCCAGAUGGGAUUAGCUAGUAGGCGGGGUAAUGGCCCACCUAGGCGACGAUCCCUAGCUGGUCUGAGAGGAUGACCAGCCACACUGGAACCGAGACACGGUCCAGACUCCUACGGGAGGCAGCAGUGGGGAAUAUUGCACAAUGGGCGCAAGCCUGAUGCAGCCAUGCCGCGUGUAUGAAGAAGGCCUUCGGGUUGUAAAGUACUUUCAGCGGGGAGGAAGGCGAUGCGGCUAAUAACCGCGUCGAUUGACGUUACCCGCAGAAGAAGCACCGGCUAACUCCGUGCCAGCAGCCGCCGUAA